This 21-nucleotide small nuclear RNA is filed under the name Arabidopsis thaliana (thale cress). RNAcentral's name for it is "snRNA_15650". Lineage: Eukaryota; Viridiplantae; Streptophyta; Magnoliopsida; Brassicales; Brassicaceae. The record is from RNAcentral.
UGGCAAACUAGACACUUUUUC